AAUAGAAAAAAAAGAGAGCACAAUCAAAUAAAGGAGCCAUCUAGCCAUCAUACUCAUACCACCUUUCCACAUAUAUAUCUUGAUCUCGAGUAUGACACUACUCUUCCUCCAAGGAUCCGAGGUUUGACUUCACAACAUAUGCAAUGUAAGUACGCCAUCCCCUUGUUCCUACCUUGAGAUCCACAUAAGCAUUUAUUGCAGUAGAAUUACAUAGAGAAGGCAACAUACUCAUAUGCCUC
Molecule: long non-coding RNA, 239 nt
Filed under: Sorghum bicolor (sorghum)
Lineage: Eukaryota; Viridiplantae; Streptophyta; Magnoliopsida; Poales; Poaceae
Description: long non-coding RNA (SBIC_LNC000992)
Source: RNAcentral